This is a small nuclear RNA of Cucurbita pepo subsp. pepo (vegetable marrow), 105 nucleotides long. The record is from RefSeq and is a predicted model, not a curated record. Lineage: Eukaryota; Viridiplantae; Streptophyta; Magnoliopsida; Cucurbitales; Cucurbitaceae.
UCGAAUAGAGGUUAAAACGAGUAAUAAUUGGAACGAUACAGAGAAGAUUAGAAUCACCCCUGUAGAAGGAUGACACACACCUAUCGAGAAAUGGUCCAAUUUUUU